This 371-nucleotide ribosomal RNA is filed under the name uncultured bacterium. Its description in RNAcentral is "bacterial SSU rRNA". It matches the Rfam family "Bacterial small subunit ribosomal RNA", at positions 524 to 898 of the family's 1533-position model. The record is from RNAcentral.
UACGUAGGGGGCUAGCGUUGUCCGGAUUUACUGGGCGUAAAGGGUGAGUAGGCGGUUAUGUAUGUCAGAUGUAAAAGGCGCGGGCUUAACUUGCGUUAGCAUUUGAAACUGCAUAACUUGAGUGCAGGAGAGGUAAGCGGAAUUCCUAGUGUAGCGGUGAAAUGCGUAGAUAUUAGGAGGAACACCGGUGGCGAAGGCGGCUUACUGGACUGUAACUGACGCUGAGUCACGAAAGCGUGGGUAGCAAACAGGAUUAGAUACCCUGGUAGUCCACGCUGUAAACGAUGAGUGCUAGGUGUUGGGUAGCGAUACUCAGUGCCGGAGUAAACACAAUAAGCACUCCGCCUGGGGAGUACGGUCGCAAGACUGAA